GACGAACGCUGGCGGCGUGCUUAACACAUGCAAGUCGAACGGAAAGGCCCUGCUUUUGUGGGGUUCUCGAGUGGCGAACGGGUGAGUAACACGUGAGUAACCUGCCCUUGACUUUGGGAUAACUUCAGGAAACUGGGGCUAAUACCGGAUAUGAUCUCCUGCUGCAUGUUGUGGGUUGGAAAGUUUCGGCUGUUGGGGAUGGACUCGCGGCUUAUCAGCUUGUUUGUGGAGUAGUGGCUUACCAAGGCUUUGACGGGUAGCCGGCCUGAGAGGGUGACCGGGCACAUUGGGCCUGAGAUACGGCCCAGACUCCUACGGGAGGCAGUAGUGGGGAACAUUGCACAAUGGGCGGAAGCCUGAUGCAGCAACGCCGCGUGCGGGAUGACGGCCUUCGGGUUGUAAACCGCUUUCGACUGUGACGAAGCGUGAGUGACGGUAAUGGGUAAAGAAGCACCGGCUAACUACGUG
Molecule: ribosomal RNA, 468 nt
Filed under: uncultured bacterium
Lineage: Bacteria
Description: partial 16S ribosomal RNA
Rfam family: Bacterial small subunit ribosomal RNA
Source: RNAcentral